UUUUUUAAUAACUAUAGUGUCCCGACUAACUUGCGUAUUAAUUUCACAGAUCACAAUAGACUUCCAGCAGCAUAACUCUGUCCUACAAAAUUUGGACAAAAAUAUAUACAUGUCUGUUUACAUUCUUGACAUAUAAGCCAAAUUAUUUAAUUUGUUACUGAAACAUAUUUGCGAUGCGUGCAGCGACCCUCAAGUCAUUACUUUCUAAAAGAAACUAAUGUCUUUAAUUGGGAUGGAUGACAAUGAACUUGAAGUGGAUGGAAAAGCUAUUGAGAUGUGGAAAAGCAUGUCAAAGGAGGUACUUCAUUUGGAUCUAUUGAUGGUACUAUAGCUUUUAUUUGUGUUUCUUACUCAUUACUGUGCUCUUGUAUGAAUUAAAUAUGAAAUGUGUUUGAAUCACCAGAUAUUGGGUUCUUCACAUUAUAAAUUUUUAUUGUUAUUUAAUAUUUUGCUGGUUUGUUAGACGACUAGAUUUUUCUGCUCUUAAUUGACUAACUAUAUGGCAUCCAUUAUUGGAUUUUCUGGCGAUGAACAACAACAAUAACCCAGUAUAAUCCCACUAGUGUGGUAGUGUGUACGCAGACCUUAUCCCUACCAUGAGGUAGAGAGGCUGUUUCCAAUAGAAACUCGGCAUCCCUCCCUCUAAGAACUCCCCACCUUACUCUUGGGGUGACUCGAACUCACAACCUCUUGGUUGGAAGUGGAGGUUGCUUACCAUCAUAGCAACCCCUCUUACCAUCUUGGCGAUGAACAACUUAAUAUUAUUUGGAGAAAUCCAAAUUUCAGCCUUGGCGAAUAUAACCAAUGGAAGAGGAGCACUAUUGCAUUACAUCUUUGACGUGACUAAUUAAUGGCUUCGCACUUAAGUUGUGUGUAAACAAAUACUAUGUGGGUGCGUCAAUAUCUGAUGUCUUCAAUAUACAUCAGCCUCUAUUUGGAUCCUAUUAACCUAUAAGUAAAUAUGAUUAUAUCUCUUAAAAUUUUGUAAGAAAAUUUAUACAUUUUCAGUGACUAUCAUAUUUGACUGAGGGCAUUUUUUCUAUUAAGCUUAAUAAGCUUUAUACACCGACGAUGUAAAAAAAAAAAUAUAUAUUUAAAUAAUCAGAUCAAUCAAUGAUGUAAUUAUAUAUAUAUAUAAAAUCUUUCUGAUAUAUAAUAAGUAUCUAAUAUAAUAAGUUAAACUCUACUCAUUCAUUCAAAAUCUUUUCACUGUAAGUGCAUAUAGAUUCUCCUAGUUUAUGCUCCUUGUGGCUAAUAUAUAACACUUCUUUUCUGAAACAGGAAACUGUGUUCCCAUGGAUGCCGAGAAAAAUCUCUUGAGACAAAAAUGGUACGUUCCAUGCUCUUCUACUGUCCAACAUCUCUGGACUGAUACAUGGGACCUUCAUGAUUAUGGAAGGCAAGUCAAGAUGUGGCUAUUGUGAGCAGUACGUAGUUAUUCUAGAAGUUAAUGGUAAUGUAUAAAUAGUAUAUUUUGAAAAGUGCAUGUUCAUUUGAUGGACUUCAAGAAUCAUAUGGUUGUAUUUUGGAAAUGAUAGUGGAUCAUGAAUUCAUUUCAUGGGCAAAAAGAAAUACACGUACCUAUUUUGGAGAUAA
This 1596-nucleotide long non-coding RNA is filed under the name Nicotiana tabacum (common tobacco). RNAcentral describes it as "long non-coding RNA (NTAB_LNC002141)". The record is from RNAcentral. Lineage: Eukaryota; Viridiplantae; Streptophyta; Magnoliopsida; Solanales; Solanaceae.